RNAcentral lists this long non-coding RNA (4303 nucleotides) under Gallus gallus (chicken). RNAcentral describes it as "lncRNA (ENSGALG00010000701.1)". Lineage: Eukaryota; Metazoa; Chordata; Aves; Galliformes; Phasianidae. The record is from RNAcentral.
CGCUCCUCCAACGCGCGGCCCUCAGCCGCCACCACCGCCCACGCCGACGUCAUGGCUGCCUGGGGGGAGAGCGGGGGGUCAGCCCCAUAGCGGACCCACACACCCACUGUUGUGGGGCUCAGCCCCAUAGGGGACCCCACACACCCACUGCCGUGGGGCUCAGCCCCAUAGCGGACCCCACAGACCCACUGCCGUGGGGCUCAGCCCCAUAGGGGACCCCACAGACCCAUUGUUGUGAGGCUAAGCCCUAUAGGGGAUCACACAGACCCAUUGCCGUGGGGCUCAGCCCCAUAGCGGACCCCACACACACACUGCCGUGGGGCUCAGCCCCAUAGCGGACCCCACAGACCCAUUGUUGUGAGGCUCAGCCCUAUAGGGGAUCACACAGACCCACUGCUGUGGGGCUCAGCCCCAUAGCGGACCCCACAGACCCAUUGUUGUGGGGCUCAGCCCUAUAGGAGACGCUGGAGAGUCCCCAUUGGAGGGCUUCGGCCCUAUAUGAGGCUGUAGGGGUGCCAUGGGUGGGGCUCAGCCCUAUAGGGGACCCCACAGACCCAUUGUUGUGGGGCUCAGCCCCAUAGGGGACCCCACAGACCCACUGCUGUGGGGCUCAGCCCCAUAGGGGACCCCACACACCCACUGCCGUGGGGCUCAGCCCUAUAGGAGACACUGGAGAGUCCCCACUGGAGGGCUUCGGCCCUAUAUGAGGCUGUAGGGGUGCCAUGGGAGGUGCUCAGCCCCAUAGGGGACCCCACACACCCACUGCCGUGGGGCUCAGCCCCAUAGGGGACCCCACAGACCCAUUGUUGUGGGGCUCAGCCCUAUAGGGGACUCCAGAGACACAUUGCUAUGAGGCUCAGCCCCAUAGGGGAUCACACAGACCCGUUGCCGUGGGGCUCAGCCCUAUAGGGGACCCCACAGACCCAUUGCUAUGAGGCUCAGCCCCAUAGUGGACCCCACAGACCCACUGCCGUGGGGCUCAGCCCCAUAGGGGACCCCACAGACCCAUUGUUGUGAGGCUAAGCCCUAUAGGGGAUCACACAGACCCAUUGCCGUGGGGCUCAGCCCCAUAGCGGACCCCACAGACCCACUGCCGUGGGGCUCAGCCCCAUAGGGGACCCCACAGACCCAUUGUUGUGAGGCUAAGCCCUAUAGGGGAUCACACAGACCCAUUGCCGUGGGGCUCAGCCCCAUAGCGGACCCCACAGACCCACUGCCGUGGGGCUCAGCCCCAUAGCGGACCCCACAGUCCCACUGCCGUGGGGCUCAGCCCCAUAGGGGACCCCACAGACCCAUUGUUGUGAGGCUAAGCCCUAUAGGGGAUCACACAGACCCAUUGCCGUGGGGCUCAGCCCCAUAGCGGACCCCACACACCCACUGUUGUGGGGCUCAGCCCCAUAGCGGACCCCACAGUCCCACUGCCGUGGGGCUCAGCCCUAUAGGAGACACUGGAGAGUCCCCACUGGAGGGCUUCGGCCCUAUAUGAGGCUGUAGGGGUGCCAUGGGAGGUGCUCAGCCCCAUAGGGGACCCCACAGACCCAUUGCUAUGAGGCUCAGCUCUAUAAGGGACCCCACAGAACCAUUCUUGUGGGGCUCAGCCCCAUAGCGGACCCCACAGACCCAUUGUUGUGAGGCUCAGCCCUAUAGGGGAUCACACAGACCCAUUGCUGUGGGGCUCAGCCCUAUAGGGGACCCCACAGACACAUUGUUGUGGGGCUCAGCCCUAUAGGGGAUCACACAGACCCACUGCCGUGGGGCUCAGCCCUAUAGGAGACACUGGAGAGUCCCCACUGGAGGGCUUCGGCCCUAUAUGAGGCUGUAGGGGUGCCAUGGGAGGUGCUCAGCCCUAUAGGAGACCCCACAGACCCAUUGUUGUGAGGCUCAGCCCUAUAGGGGACCCCACAGACCCAUUGCUAUGAGGCUCAGCUCUAUAAGGGACCCCACAGAACCAUUCUUGUGGGGCUCAGCCCCAUAGGGGACCCCACAGACCCACUGCCGUGGGGCUCAGCCCCAUAGGGGACCCCACAGACCCAUUGUUGUGAGGCUAAGCCCUAUAGGGGAUCACACAGACCCAUUGCUGUGGGGCUCAGCCCUAUAGGGGACCCCACAGACACAUUGUUGUGGGGCUCAGCCCCAUAGGGGACCCCACAGUCCCACUGCCGUGGGGCUCAGCCCUAUAGGAGACACUGGAGAGUCCCCACUGGAGGGCUUCGGCCCUAUAUGAGGCUGUAGGGGUGCCAUGGGAGGUGCUCAGCCCUAUAGGAGACCCCACAGACCCGUUGCCGUGGGGCUCAGCCCCAUAGGGGACCCCACACACCCUCUGCCGUGGGGCUCAGCCCCAUAGCGGACCCCACACACCCACUGCCGUGGGGCUCAGCCCUAUAGCAGACCCCACAGUCCCACUGCCGUGGGGCUCAGCCCCAUAGGGGACCCCACAGACCCAUUCUUGUGGGGCUCAGCCCUAUAGGGGACUCCAGAGACACAUUGCUAUGAGGCUCAGCCCUAUAGGGGAUCACACAGACCCGUUGCCGUGGGGCUCAGCCCUAUAGGGGACCCCACAGACCCACUGCCGUGGGGCUCAGCCCCAUAGGGGACCCCACACACCCACUGUUGUGGGGCUCAGCCCCAUAGGGGACCCCACACACCCAUUACUAUGAGGCUCAGCCCCAUAGCGGACCCCACAGACCCAUUCUUGUGGGGCUCAGCCCUAUAGGGGACCCCACAGACCCAUUGUUGUGAGGCUCAGCCCUAUAGGGGAUCACACAGACCCACUGCCGUGGGGCUCAGCCCCAUAGGGGACCCCACACACCCACUGCCGUGGGGCUCAGCCCCAUAGCGGAACCCACACACCCACUGUUGUGGGGCUCAGCCCCAUAGGGGACCCCACAGACCCAUUGAUAUAAGGCUCAGCCCUAUAGGGGACCCCACAGACCCAUUGUUGUGGGGCUCAGCCCUAUAGCGCAUCACACAGACCCAUUGCUAUGAGGCUCAGCCCUAUAGUAGACGCUGGAGAGUCCCCAUAGGAGGGCUUCGGCCCUAUAUGAGGCCGUAGGGGUGCCAUGGGUGGGGCUCAGCCCUAUAGGAGACCCCACAGACCCAUUGUUGUGAGGCUCAGCCCUAUAGGGGACCCCACAGACCCAUUGUUGUGAGGCUCAGCCCCAUAGCGGACCCCACACACCCACUGCCGUGGGGCUCAGCCCUAUAGGAGACCCCACAGACCCACUGCCGUGGGGCUCAGCCCCAUAGGGGACCCCACAGACCCGUUAUUGUGAGGCUCAGCCCCAUAGGGGACCCCACAGACCCACUGCUGUGGGGCUCAGCCCUAUAGGGGACCCCACAGACCCACUGCCGUGGGGCUCAGCCCUAUAGGGGAUCCCACAGACCCAUUCUUGUGGGGCUCAGCCCUAUAGGAGACGCUGGAGAGUCCCCAUUGGAGGGCUUCGGCCCUAUAUGAGGCUGUAGGGGUGCCAUGGGUGGGGCUCAGCCCUAUAGGGGACCCCACAGACCCAUUGUUGUGGGGCUCAGCCCCAUAGGGGACCCCACAGACCCACUGCUGUGGGGCUCAGCCCCAUAGCGGACCCCACAGACCCACUGCCGUGGGGCUCAGCCCCAUAGGGGACUCCAUAGACACAGUGUUGUGGGGCUCAGCCCUAUAGGGGACCCCACAGACCCACUGCCGUGGGGCUCAGCCCCAUAGUGGACCCCACAGACCCAUUGUUGUGAGGCUCAGCCCUAUAGGGGAUCACACAGACCCACUGCCGUGGGGCUCAGCCCUAUAGGAGACCCCACAGACCCAUUGUUGUGAGGCUCAGCCCUAUAGGAGACCCCACAGACCCAUUGUUGUGGGGCUCAGCCCUAUAGGGGAUCCCAGAUAACCCUCCUACUAUGCUCAGCCCUAUAGGAGACCCCACAGACCCAUUGCUAUGAGGCUCAGCCCUAUAGGGGAUCACACAGACCCGUUGUUGUGGGGCUCAGCCCUAUAGGAGACCCCACAGACCCUAUAUAGCCCCUAUAGCCCCUCCAGCUCCCCUAUAGGUCCGAUACCUCCUGUAGCCCCCCCACGACCCCCCUAUGAGAUCCCAUAACUCCCCCUAUAGACCCUGAAACUCCCCAGAAGCCCCCCUAUAGCCCCCACAUUCCCCUAUAGCCCCCCCAUCCCCCUAUAGCCCCCCUAUAGCCCCCACAUCCUCCUAUAGCCCCGCUAUAGCCCCCACAUCCCCCUAUAGCCCCCACAUCCCCCUAUAGCCCCCCUUAUAGCCCCCCUAUAGCCCCCACAUCCCCCUAUAGCCCCCCUAUAGCCCCC